Non-coding RNA from Suillus ampliporus, 78 nucleotides. The record is from the annotation of a GenBank genome assembly. Lineage: Eukaryota; Fungi; Basidiomycota; Agaricomycetes; Boletales; Suillaceae.
UCGGAUAUGAUGUAAUGGUUAACAUUACCUCUCAUUUGUAGUUUACAGUAGCUCAGGCUUCAAUUCCCUGUAUCUGAA